UUGACCUCGGAUCAGGUAGGGAUACCCGCUGAACUUAAGCAUAUCAAUAAGCGGAGGAAAAGAAACCAACCGGGAUUGCCUCAGUAACGGCGAGUGAAGCGGCAAGAGCUCAAAUUUGAAAGCUGGCUCCUUCGGGGUCCGCAUUGUAAUUUGCAGAGGAUGCUUCGGGUGCGGCCCCUGUCUAAGUGCCCUGGAACGGGCCGUCAGAGAGGGUGAGAAUCCCGUCUGGGAUGGGGUGUCCGCGCCCGUGUGAAGCUCCUUCGACGAGUC
RNAcentral lists this ribosomal RNA (270 nucleotides) under uncultured eukaryote. Its description in RNAcentral is "partial 28S ribosomal RNA". It matches the Rfam family "Eukaryotic large subunit ribosomal RNA", at positions 1 to 266 of the family's 3401-position model. The record is from RNAcentral.